This is a non-coding RNA of Camellia sinensis, 306 nucleotides long. NCBI's taxonomy places the organism in Eukaryota, Viridiplantae, Streptophyta, Magnoliopsida, Ericales, Theaceae. The record is from RefSeq and is a predicted model, not a curated record.
AGUAGCUUCACCUAUAGAUUGCACAAACAAUACAAGCAACUUAAGGAUGCAAGAGGGGAGGAGUACGCGAGAAGCCACCCACCUACAAGUGUUACUCUUAAUCAAUGGACAUCUCUAAUUGACAAGAAGUGGAAUAGUAAAGAAUUCAUGGAACAAUCACUAACUAAUGUGAAUAAUAGGAUGCAAAUGAAAACAAAACAUAGAUGUGGAUCAAAAUCAAUCCCGGUUAGGGUGCACAGCUCGAUAAUUGCAAAUGGAGAAGUUUCUGAUUUGGCAAAGUUUUACAAGUCCAUCCACUAUAAUUCG